UGGGGGGGGCUAUGGUUUUUUUUGGAAAAAAAAGUUUGUUUCCAGUUUUUGGAGAAAAAAAUAAUUUGUUUUUGAUUCUGAGAAAAAAAAAUUGUUUGUUUCACCCUCAGCUGCCACUAUAUGUAAUGCUAAAAUUGAAAGAAAAAAAUUGUUUUCGACUUGUCGCGAAAAAAAUAGAUUGUUUUUCGCCGCAGGCGAAAAAAAAAGUUUGUACAGAAAAAAAAACCAUAGCCCCCCCCCAGAAAAUCAAAUGGUUGCUGCCUAAGGGGACAGGAUGU
Molecule: long non-coding RNA, 278 nt
Filed under: Mytilus galloprovincialis (Mediterranean mussel)
Lineage: Eukaryota; Metazoa; Mollusca; Bivalvia; Mytilida; Mytilidae
Source: RNAcentral